Molecule: ribosomal RNA, 1513 nt
Filed under: uncultured Lactobacillus sp.
Lineage: Bacteria; Bacillati; Bacillota; Bacilli; Lactobacillales; Lactobacillaceae
Description: bacterial SSU rRNA
Rfam family: Bacterial small subunit ribosomal RNA
Source: RNAcentral
AGUAGUUUGUAUUCUGCUCAGGACGAACGCUGGCGGCGUGCCUAAUACAUGCAAGUCGAACGAACUCUGGUAUUGAUUGGUGCUUGCAUCAUGAUUUACAUUUGAGUGAGUGGCGAACUGGUGAGUAACACGUGGGAAACCUGCCCAGAAGCGGGGGAUAACACCUGGAAACAGAUGCUAAUACCGCAUAACAACUUGGACCGCAUGGUCCGAGUUUGAAAGAUGGCUUCGGCUAUCACUUUUGGAUGGUCCCGCGGCGUAUUAGCUAGAUGGUGGGGUAACGGCUCACCAUGGCAAUGAUACGUAGCCGACCUGAGAGGGUAAUCGGCCACAUUGGGACUGAGACACGGCCCAAACUCCUACGGGAGGCAGCAGUAGGGAAUCUUCCACAAUGGACGAAAGUCUGAUGGAGCAACGCCGCGUGAGUGAAGAAGGGUUUCGGCUCGUAAAACUCUGUUGUUAAAGAAGAACAUAUCUGAGAGUAACUGUUCAGGUAUUGACGGUAUUUAACCAGAAAGCCACGGCUAACUACGUGCCAGCAGCCGCGGUAAUACGUAGGUGGCAAGCGUUGUCCGGAUUUAUUGGGCGUAAAGCGAGCGCAGGCGGUUUUUUAAGUCUGAUGUGAAAGCCUUCGGCUCAACCGAAGAAGUGCAUCGGAAACUGGGAAACUUGAGUGCAGAAGAGGACAGUGGAACUCCAUGUGUAGCGGUGAAAUGCGUAGAUAUAUGGAAGAACACCAGUGGCGAAGGCGGCUGUCUGGUCUGUAACUGACGCUGAGGCUCGAAAGUAUGGGUAGCGAUGACCCUAGGUAUCCAUACCGUAAACGAUUGAAGCUAACGUAGUUGGAGGGUUUCCGCCCUUCAGUGCUGCAGCUAACGCAUUAAGCAUUCACGCGGGGCGCAAGCUGAAACUCAAAGGAAUUGACGGGGGCCCGCACAAGCGGUGGAGCAUGUGGUUUAAUUCGAAGCUACGCGAAGAACCUUACCAGGUCUUGACAUACUAUGCAAAUCUAAGAGAUUAGACGUUCCCUUCGGGGACAUGGAUACAGGUGGUGCAUGGUUGUCGUCAGCUCGUGUCGUGAGAUGUUGGGUUAAGUCCCGCAACGAGCGCAACCCUUAUUAUCAGUUGCCAGCAUUAAGUUGGGCACUCUGGUGAGACUGCCGGUGACAAACCGGAGGAAGGUGGGGAUGACGUCAAAUCAUCAUGCCCCUUAUGACCUGGGCUACACACGUGCUACAAUGGAUGGUACAACGAGUUGCGAACUCGCGAGAGUAAGCUAAUCUCUUAAAGCCAUUCUCAGUUCGGAUUGUAGGCUGCAACUCGCCUACAUGAAGUCGGAAUCGCUAGUAAUCGCGGAUCAGCAUGCCGCGGUGAAUACGUUCCCGGGCCUUGUACACACCGCCCGUCACACCAUGAGAGUUUGUAACACCCAAAGUCGGUGGGGUAACCUUUUAGGAACCAGCCGCCUAAGGUGGGACAGAUGAUUAGGGUGAAGUCGAAAACAAGGUAACCG